This 457-nucleotide ribosomal RNA is filed under the name uncultured Pirellula sp. Its description in RNAcentral is "bacterial SSU rRNA". It matches the Rfam family "Bacterial small subunit ribosomal RNA", at positions 8 to 486 of the family's 1533-position model. Lineage: Bacteria; Pseudomonadati; Planctomycetota; Planctomycetia; Pirellulales; Pirellulaceae. The record is from RNAcentral.
AGAGUUUGAUCAUGGCUCAGAAUGAACGUUGGCGGCGUGGAUUAGGCAUGCAAGUCGAGCGCGAACCUCGCAAGAGGUAAGAGCGGCGAAAGGGAGAGUAACGCGUGGGUAUUUACCCUCGGGACUGGGAUAGCUGCGGGAAACUGCAGGUAAUACCAGAUGAUGUCCCCGGACCAAAGGUGUGAUUCCGCCUGAGGAUAAGCCCGCGUCCUAUUAGCUUGUUGGUGGGGUAAUGGCCUACCAAGGCAAUGAUGGGUACUGGGUGUGAGAGCACGACCCAGCUCACUGGGACUGAGACACUGCCCAGACACCUACGGGUGGCUGCAGUCGAGAAUCUUGCGCAAUGGUCGAAAGACUGACGCAGCGACGCCGCGUGCGGGAGGAAGCCCUUCGGGGUGUAAACCGCUGUUACUCGGGACGAACUUCUCGAUUCAUCGAGAUGACGGUACCGGGAGAA